Molecule: ribosomal RNA, 301 nt
Filed under: uncultured bacterium
Lineage: Bacteria
Description: partial 16S ribosomal RNA
Rfam family: Bacterial small subunit ribosomal RNA
Source: RNAcentral
CAGUAGCCACGGGAAUACGGAGGGUGCAAGCGUUACUCGGAAUCACUGGGCGUAAAGGACGCGUAGGCGGAUUAUCAAGUCUCUUGUGAAGUCUAACGGCUUAACCGUUAAACUGCUUGGGAAACUGAUAAUCUAGAGUAAGGGAGAGGCAGAUGGAAUUCUUGGUGUAGGGGUAAAAUCCGUAGAUAUCAAGAAGAAUACCUAUUGCGAAGGCGAUCUGCUGGAACUUAACUGACGCUAAUGCGUGAAAGCGUGGGGAGCAAACAGGAUUAGAGACCCGAGUAGUCCCUGUCUCUUAUAC